Molecule: long non-coding RNA, 1118 nt
Organism: Oreochromis niloticus (Nile tilapia)
Lineage: Eukaryota; Metazoa; Chordata; Actinopteri; Cichliformes; Cichlidae
Exons: 2
Source: RefSeq, a predicted model, not a curated record
CUCUGUUCCAAGAAUUCUACUCUUUUACAGAGCAUCUUUUUGAGUGUCUUGGUUUUAAUUGGAUUUGGAUCUCCACAUCGUUGGUGGAAGAAGGUUAUCAGAAUGGCUUCAAAAUUUGCGACCACAAUUGGCGACCACGAAGGGACAAGGAAUUAAGGUGAUUGCUGGGAGCCUUGGGGAAUGCCAAAGCCUUGCACAUCAGAGAACACCAAGCGGCCGCUACAAUAAGCUAUCUUUCUGCAGGUGGAGAUGGCAUCUGGAUAACAGAUGGAGAUGCAGAGGUCCUGAAGCAGGUGCUGGCAAUCUGAUGACGAGUGUGAGGGGACAACGGGGUGAAACAGGCUGCUCCAGAAAGCUGAACCAUGACCCAUCCAGUAGCUGCUGAACCUGCUGCAGAGCCUACAGCCCAGGUGGAGCUGUACAGUGCCCAAACCAGCUUCCGAAUGAUGGAUGUGCAAGAUCAACUACUACCCAGCGCCGACCCUGACUUUAAUCAAGAGUAGGACCAAGUCGUCUCGAGUAUUCUUAGAAGCUAUGCGAGAUCCAGCAGUCAAGAAGUACCAAGAGAGACUUUUCUCGGACUCAUAAAUUGGUUGAAAUAUGGACUGAAAAGGGGACACAAGUUGAGUAAAGGUUGAAGCUGACUGCAGAGAAAUGUCAACCUUGAAGCUAACAAAGGACAUUUCAAAGCCCACACUGAGAAGUCUGUUCAGAAGAAGUUGCACCUGACCAAGAUGAAAUCCAAAAUUGGGAAUUAAUUGUUUAAUUGUGUUAUUUUUAAUGUCACUAAUGGUGUUGUGUAAUCCAUGUGUGUAUUAUGUGUCUCUGCUGAUGUGUUUUAUGCCUUACUUUCAUUUUCCUGUAAUUAGGCUGAUUUUUAAGUUUCUUGAGUAUUCUGUUAAGGAUACUGUGGAGUAUGAUUUGCAAAUGAAGAUGAAUCAAUUUGUCUUAAAUUAAUUGACUAAGAGAAAUGGAAUCUUGGGAGAAUGUUAUGUUGAUAACUGUGAGGUUUUUGGUGGCAGGAAGGGCCUAUUCAACUGAGCAACAACUGUGUGGGAUCUUUAUACAAAUUCUUAUGUUCUAUUUACAGCUUGCUUUUACGUAUGUUAGCAAAAAAA